Molecule: long non-coding RNA, 1077 nt
Organism: Orbicella faveolata
Lineage: Eukaryota; Metazoa; Cnidaria; Anthozoa; Scleractinia; Merulinidae
Source: RefSeq, a predicted model, not a curated record
AGAUUAUAACAAAACAAACUACGAAGCUAAGGUGUUGUCUUGUAGGCUCGUCAGAAUCGCUGUACGUUGAGGUGCCUUUUUCUUUUCUAUUUGUCAAUCAGAUUUAAACUUGAAGACCGAAAAUUCUAUAUUUUUUCUGAGUGCUUGGGCCCAAAAGACAAGGACAAGCUAUUUUGGCGUAGAAUAAAAUCGUAAUUGUCAAUCUUCUCUUUGGUUGGGGGAAGGAAGCUUCUGGAAGAACAAAACUAAAUGGUUACAGUUGAUUCUUCAAUUAUUGAAGCCCUGGGUUCGCGAUGUAUUUUGCAUUCAGUUAGCUCCUUUUAAAACUGUUACUUGGGUUCACAGACUACAAUUGACCAAUAAGAGCGUGGAGUGAAGAGUUCGUUUGGGGGAGGGGUCGUUACUUUAAUUCUUACACUAUUCCACUUCCUGGGUAGAACUAAACUCGUGGCAAUACUGAGGAAAAUUUGCAAUCAACGACCUUAUGAGCUAGCUGUGUAUAAAACAGUUAUAUCAGCCUUAUCUAAACAUAACUGUAUUUUUCUUUCAAAGGAUAACACAAUGCCAUAAAGCUGGAAAAAGAUAUCGUCAUACGCAUGGACAGACAGACAACAGGAUAAUGUUUUCUCAAAUCACAGGAAAAUAUCAAGCUUGGGAUAAGAGAAGCUGGAAUGGAAAAAAGGACAACUUCAGGAAUGACGCUUUUCAAUAAGGUUUCUGGAUGCUUUUGACGUUCAUUGCAAAACCAAAAGAAGAAAUCAGCCCAGUGGAAUUCAAGAUAAACACAAGUUUACUCAGAGGUAGAAAACAAACUAAACCAAGAGUUUACUUCAAGACUAAGUCGAAAGAAUCGCAGGGAAAAUUUGUCACCCAGUAUCAAGAUAGGACUGUUAUCAGAGCGAAUUAGUUUCUGCCAUUUUGAGCUGUUUGUGAAAUCAUAGCUUCGACUGAAAUUUAUCACUGGAAUAACACAAAUUUUCUAAAUAUAUUUAAUGUUGAAUUUUUUGUGUUAGUUUUUUCCUAAGUAACAUCGGUUUGAACGGUUUCAAUUUUCCCGCCAAAAGACUUAGAAAAAUA